RNAcentral lists this unclassified non-coding RNA (521 nucleotides) under Hevea brasiliensis (rubber tree). The record is from RNAcentral. Lineage: Eukaryota; Viridiplantae; Streptophyta; Magnoliopsida; Malpighiales; Euphorbiaceae.
AUACAACAACAUUCCACCAUGCAUUCCACAAAUCAUCAGCUCAAUGAGUGCAAAUCGAUUGAAAACAAUAGCUGAAUGGCAAUACAAAAUCAGCCUAACUAGGAGAUAUCUCCCAAUGAAUGUAGCUAGCAACAUAUAUCUAUAUUAAUGGAAUGGUAAGCACAGGUUUUUUCCUCGUACUGCAGAAAGAGUGUAGCUGAUUGUCAUCAAAUGUCCCAAAACCAGAAAGAUGGAUGCCAUAUGCUUCCAUUCUGUUCACAUCCCGUGGAAUAGGUGACUGCCAAAGUCCAUCCCACCAUGCAGGCGGAAGAAUUGGAGUACGAGCACAUUGCCUUGAUUGGUUGUGGCAGCUCAAUGUACCAGCAAAUCGGUUCCACACGUGCCCCCAACCAAUCUGAUUCUUUAGGCCUUCUCUAAGCAAGUUACUCUGGAAGCUACUGAGGAAGGUGAAGUUUGAUCCAGCAGAGGAUCUUUCUUCUUCAAGGUUGUUAGCUGCAGCCAACGCUGCAACCAGCUGAGCA